GGGGUGACCACAUCUGCAUGCAGUAUUGAAGAUGUGGGUGUACCAUGGAUUUAUAUAGAGUUUGAUAGAAGUCUGCUGUAUGGACUACUUGUCUAGAGCUGGUGCAGGACACACAGAAAACACACACACAGCCAACAACUGACAACACUGGUGACCCCGACCGCUGAUCUGGUCUCGUGGGAGAUUCGGUGACGUUCCCAGAUCUUCUGCCUCCCCAGUUCAUCUAUUUCAACAUUGUGGGCUCCCAGCAGCACGGUGAUGGUACUGUGAAAUACAAGAGGAUGCAGGUGCUGCAGACAGGCCAAUACUUGGAGUCCUAUGCUCCCCAAAAUAUCCCCCCAAGCCCCUUCACCCCCUUUCCUGGGGAGGCUUGAGAAUAAUAUACCAACCAAUAGGUUAAUAAAAUGAGCACAGACCAAAUCCCUGGUUUUUAGG
Molecule: non-coding RNA, 435 nt
Organism: Chrysemys picta bellii (western painted turtle)
Lineage: Eukaryota; Metazoa; Chordata; Testudines; Emydidae
Source: RefSeq, a predicted model, not a curated record